Molecule: non-coding RNA, 24 nt
Filed under: Mus musculus (house mouse)
Lineage: Eukaryota; Metazoa; Chordata; Mammalia; Rodentia; Muridae
Source: RNAcentral
UGAGGUUGUGAACCCCGGUGAAAC